RNAcentral lists this ribosomal RNA (468 nucleotides) under uncultured bacterium. Its description in RNAcentral is "partial 16S ribosomal RNA". It matches the Rfam family "Bacterial small subunit ribosomal RNA", at positions 28 to 507 of the family's 1533-position model. The record is from RNAcentral.
GAUGAACGCUGGCGGCGUGCCUAACACAUGCAAGUCGAACGGAAAGGCCCGGCUUUUGUUGGGUGCUCGAGUGGCGAGCGGGUGAGUAUCACGUGAGUAUCCUGCCCUUGACUUUGUGAUAAAUUCAGGAAACUGCGGCUAAUACCGGAUAGGAGCUCCUGCUGCAGGGGGGGGGUUGGAAAGUUUCGGCGGUUGGGGAUGGACUGGCGGCUUAUCAGCUUGUUGGUGGGGUAGUGGCUUACCAAGGCUUUGACGGAUAGCCGGCCUGAGAGGGUGACCGGCGACAAUGCGACUACGGUACGGAGCAGACGCGAACGGGAGGCAGCAGGCGGGAGUAUGGCACAGUGAGCGGAAGUGUGAUACGAAAACGCUGCGUGCGGGAUGCCGGGCUUCGGGGUAAAAACCGCUUUGGCCUGAGACGAAGCGGGAGUGACGGUAAUGGAUAAAGAAGCACCGGCUAACUACGUG